ACUCCUACGGGAGGCAGCAGUGAGGAAUAUUGGUCAAUGGGCGCAAGCCUGAACCAGCCAUGCCGCGUGCAGGAUGACGGUCCUAUGGAUUGUAAACUGCUUUUGUACAGGAAGAAACACUCCGACGUGUCGGAGCUGACGGUACUU
RNAcentral lists this ribosomal RNA (147 nucleotides) under uncultured bacterium. RNAcentral describes it as "partial 16S ribosomal RNA". It matches the Rfam family "Bacterial small subunit ribosomal RNA", at positions 335 to 480 of the family's 1533-position model. The record is from RNAcentral.